RNAcentral lists this ribosomal RNA (460 nucleotides) under uncultured bacterium. RNAcentral describes it as "partial 16S ribosomal RNA". It matches the Rfam family "Bacterial small subunit ribosomal RNA", at positions 338 to 795 of the family's 1533-position model. The record is from RNAcentral.
CCUACGGGUGGCAGCAGUGAGGAAUAUUGGUCAAUGGCCGUAAGGCUGAACCAGCCAAGCCGCGUGAAGGAAGAAGGAUCUAUGGUUUGUAAACUUCUUUUAUAGGGGAAUAAAGGCAUCCACGUGUGGCUAUUUGCAUGUACCCUAUGAAUAAGCAUCGGCUAACUCCGUGCCAGCAGCCGCGGUAAUACGGAGGAUGCGAGCGUUAUCCGGAUUUAUUGGGUUUAAAGGGUGCGUAGGUUGUUGUUUAAGUCAGCGGUGAAAGUUCGUGGCUCAACCAUAAAAUUGCCGUUGAAACUGGAAGACUUGAGUGUGUGUGCGGUAGGCGGAAUGCGUGGUGUAGCGGUGAAAUGCAUAGAUAUCACGCAGAACUCCGAUUGCGAAGGCAGCUUACUAAGCCAUAACUGACACUGAGGCACGAAAGCGUGGGGAUCAAACAGGAUUAGAUACCCGGGUAGUC